GAUGAACGCUGGCGGCGUGCCUAACACAUGCAAGUCGAGCGAUUCUCUUCGGAGGAGAGCGGCGGACGGGUGAGUAACGCGUGGGUAACCUGCCCUGUACACACGGAUAACAUACCGAAAGGUAUGCUAAUACGAGAUAAUAUGCUUUUAUCGCAUGGUAGAAGUAUCAAAGCUUUUGCGGUACAGGAUGGACCCGCGUCUGAUUAGCUAGUUGGUAAGGUAACGGCUUACCAAGGCGACGAUCAGUAGCCGACCUGAGAGGGUGAUCGGCCACAUUGGAACUGAGACACGGUCCAAACUCCUACGGGAGGCAGCAGUGGGGAAUAUUGCACAAUGGGCGAAAGCCUGAUGCAGCAACGCCGCGUGAGCGAUGAAGGCCUUCGGGUCGUAAAGCUCUGUCCUCAAGGAAGAUAAUGACGGUACUUGAGGAGGAAGC
This 436-nucleotide ribosomal RNA is filed under the name uncultured bacterium. RNAcentral describes it as "bacterial SSU rRNA". It matches the Rfam family "Bacterial small subunit ribosomal RNA", at positions 28 to 491 of the family's 1533-position model. The record is from RNAcentral.